GAAACAUUUAAUUGGGAAGUUCACAACUCAUCAACUUAUCUUGAUCUAUACGAACUAUAUGGAUCUGAAAACAAAAAAUACUUCUCAAUGAAGAUAAACCAUGAAGGUAGUUUCUUGUACUAUCUAGAAAGAGAUUACCAUGGAGGAAUCAUUGACCAUGUUGACUUCAUCAACAUAACUAGUUUCUAUGUGGAGGUACCUCUUCAUCCAAGGGGAAGGAGCCAGUGGCGUAACAGCGCAUCACACACACAUGAUUUUCGCAAUGAGUUUUAUGGGAUUGUACUCUGAUUUAUAUUACUGUUCGAUGUUUUAAUUUAAGACAUGUUCAUUAUGAUUUAUGGAUUGAUAUGAUAUUGGCAAUGUUUUCAAUAAACAAUUUAUAAAUUACUUAUUUACAAAAGAAAUUUUUGCACUCGAAAUUUGGGAUGUUACAAGUUGGUAUCAGAGCCUUGGUUUGAGGGAAUCAGACACACACCUUUGGGGGUGUUUGGACUCAAAUCAAGGGCUUGAAGGAUUUUCACAAGAAAAUAGUUUUCUAAGAUCUAAGUUAAAGAAUUUUGGGAAAGAACGAGGUGUGUGAUGCAUGCGACCGGUCGAGCUCAAGUAAGUUUUCCCCAAAAUACCCAUACUUGAUACGUUAUGUUAUAUGAUAUGAUUAUGAGAACUGUAUACUAGAUUAGGGCUAAGGAUCUAGGAAGAUGUCUUGUAUGCCUGUUAUAUGAUUCUGAGAACUGCAUGCUAGAUUAGGGCUAAGGAUCUAGGGAGGAUGCCUUAUAUGCCUGUUGUAUGAGUUUAUUGAGCAAUAUGCUAGGGCUGGUUAGUCAGCAGUAUGGUAACCUGAUUAGGUUAUGCCUGGUGUUGGAUACUCAAUGCACGGAUGCUACUUGCUUUGUUCUAUAAGGGUUCCGACUAGCUUUAACUAACAAGUGAACGGAUAUGUAAUAGUAUCUGCAAGCUAGUUAAGGAAAGACGGUAGGGACUCCUUGUGCAGCUGAUGGUGGAGAGUAGGUCAGAGAGUUCCCUAAAACAAGCCUAGGAUGAGAUUAUUUGGAAAGUUGUAUUAGUAGAAAAGGAUUUGGUGAAGUCAAUGCAAUUCUUAAGGAAAGUAUGGAUAUAUGUGGAAGGUAGUAUGGUCCCGUACUACUGGAAACAGAGGAUCCGUACUCGAACCAAUGAGGGCUGAGACAGAACCAGGAAACUUGGAGAGUGUGUGAGAUCUCUCGAGAGUAUGUAUGACCCUGACAUCAUUAUGUUUGUAUUCAAUAUGGCGAUUACGCGACAUGGAGCAUGUUCUGGGUCAGGAUCAUGGUUAGGCUUAGGUGCGGGAUCCGAGCAGAUUGAUGACGGGCUACGCGAGUUCAUUGCGUCUGAGAUCACGAGAGGUAUCCUUGAGGCGACCCCGGUCAU
Molecule: non-coding RNA, 1407 nt
Organism: Lactuca sativa (garden lettuce)
Lineage: Eukaryota; Viridiplantae; Streptophyta; Magnoliopsida; Asterales; Asteraceae
Source: RefSeq, a predicted model, not a curated record